This 119-nucleotide ribosomal RNA is filed under the name Pteropus alecto (black flying fox). The record is from RNAcentral. Lineage: Eukaryota; Metazoa; Chordata; Mammalia; Chiroptera; Pteropodidae.
GUCUACGGCCAUGCCACCCUGAACAAGCCUGAUCCCGUCUGAUUUCUGAAGCUAAGCAGGGUCGGGCCUGGUUAGUACUUGGAUGGGAGACCACCUAGGAAGACCAGGUGCUAUAGACC